This 1012-nucleotide ribosomal RNA is filed under the name Hypomyces sp. RNAcentral describes it as "partial 28S ribosomal RNA". It matches the Rfam family "Eukaryotic large subunit ribosomal RNA", at positions 51 to 1098 of the family's 3401-position model. Lineage: Eukaryota; Fungi; Ascomycota; Sordariomycetes; Hypocreales; Hypocreaceae. The record is from RNAcentral.
CGGAGAAAGAACAACAGGCUUGCCCCAGUAACGGCGAGUGAAGCGGCAACAGCUCAAAUUUGAAAUCUGGCCCCUCGGGGUCCGAGUUGUAAUUUGUAGAGGAUGCUUUUGAUGAGGCGCCGCCUGAGUUCCCUGGAACGGGACGCCAUAGAGGGUGAGAGCCCCGUCUGGCUGGCCGCCGAGUCUCUGUAAAGCUCCUUCGACGAGUCGAGUAGUUUGGGAAUGCUGCUCAAAAUGGGAGGUAUAUGUCUUCUAAAGCUAAAUACCGGCCAGAGACCGAUAGCGCACAAGUAGAGUGAUCGAAAGAUGAAAAGCACUUUGAAAAGAGGGUUAAAUAGUACGUGAAAUUGUUGAAAGGGAAGCACUUGUGACCAGACUUGGGCUUGGCGAAUCAUCCGGCGUUCUCGCCGGUGCACUUUGCCUCGUCCAGGCCAGCAUCAGUUCGCCGCGGGGGAUAAAGGCUUCGGGAACGUGGCUCCUCCGGGAGUGUUAUAGCCCGUUGCGUAAUACCCUGCAGUGGACUGAGGUUCGCGCAUCUGCAAGGAUGCUGGCGUAAUGGUCAUCAGUGACCCGUCUUGAAACACGGACCAAGGAGUCGUCUUCGUAUGCGAGUGUUCGGGUGUCAAACCCCUACGCGUAAUGAAAGUGAACGCAGGUGAGAGCUUCGGCGCAUCAUCGACCGAUCCUGAUGUUCUCGGAUGGAUUUGAGUAAGAGCAUACGGGGCCGGACCCGAAAGAAGGUGAACUAUGCCUGUAUAGGGUGAAGCCAGAGGAAACUCUGGUGGAGGCUCGCAGCGGUUCUGACGUGCAAAUCGAUCGUCAAAUAUGGGCAUGGGGGCGAAAGACUAAUCGAACCUUCUAGUAGCUGGUUUCCGCCGAAGUUUCCCUCAGGAUAGCAGUGUUGAUCUCAGUUUUAUGAGGUAAAGCGAAUGAUUAGGGACCCGGGGGCGCUAUUUAGCCUUCAUCCAUUCUCAAACUUUAAAUAUGUAAGAAGCCCUUGUUGCUUAAUUGA